AUGAACGCUGGCGGCGUGCCUAAUACAUGCAAGUCGAGCGAACAGACGAGGAGCUUGCUCCUUUGACGUUAGCGGCGGACGGGUGAGUAACACGUGGAUAACCUACCUAUAAGACUGGGAUAACUUCGGGAAACCGGAGCUAAUACCGGAUAACAUGUUGAACCGCAUGGUUCAACAGUGAAAGACGGUCUUGCUGUCACUUAUAGAUGGAUCCGCGCCGCAUUAGCUAGUUGGUAAGGUAACGGCUUACCAAGGCAACGAUGCGUAGCCGACCUGAGAGGGUGAUCGGCCACACUGGAACUGAGACACGGUCCCGACUCCUACGGGAGGCAGCAGUAGGGAAUCUUCCGCAAUGGGCGAAAGCCUGACGGAGCAACGCCGCGUGAGUGAAGAAGGUCUUCGGAUCGUAAAACUCUGUUAUUAGGGAAGAACAAAUGUGUAAGUAACUAUGCACGUCUUGACGGUACCUAAUCAGAAAGCCACGGCUAACUACGUG
Molecule: ribosomal RNA, 496 nt
Filed under: uncultured bacterium
Lineage: Bacteria
Description: partial 16S ribosomal RNA
Rfam family: Bacterial small subunit ribosomal RNA
Source: RNAcentral